Heterocephalus glaber (naked mole-rat) is the source of this 1211-nucleotide non-coding RNA. Lineage: Eukaryota; Metazoa; Chordata; Mammalia; Rodentia; Bathyergidae. The record is from RefSeq and is a predicted model, not a curated record.
UGGGAUGUCAGAGCCUUUUGGAUGAAGCAGGAGAAUACAGGUGAAUUCUGAUGACGCUGUGAUAAAAUGCUCCUUCAUAAGGAAAGGGAUUAAAGUGAUUGUACCUGACUCCUUAUCUAAGGGUCUGCUUCUAACAUUUCCACAGUGAGACAAAAUUUGUUGAUUCCAGAAGUUAAUGGAAAGAUGCAGAAACUGAGACACACAGAAGCUAAGUUGCUCAGUGUCACACAAGUGGUGAGGACAAGUUUGAGUCCGAGUGGUUUGUCUCAAAAGUGCUCAGAAGGACUCCACCAUGGACUGGGGUGUACUCUGCUGUCUGGAGAGGAGUGUUCAAAACUUCAGGGGAGCGUCUGUGUGUGGAGGCCCUUGCCUGCAAUCCCAGCUACUCCAGAGGUUGAGGCAGGAGGAUUGCAAGUUCCAGGCUGCCCUAGACAACUUAGUGAGGCCCUGUCUCAAAAUAAAAUUCAAAAUAAAGGACUGGGAAUGUAGCUCAGUGGUAGAAGGCUUGCCUAGCAUGAGCAAGGCCCCUUGGUUCAAUCCCCAGUACUACAAAAAUAAAACAAAAGAAAUUUAAAGGGAGCAGAGGCAAAGGACAUGGAGAGAGUCCUUUGGUAGAUGAAAGUGAGAAGUUCAAUUAUACUAACACUUCCCAGUCAUUCAAGAUGUUUGUACUUCUAGUAAGAGAUGAGAUAGUGGUAACUAGCAAGAAGUAUGCUGGAGUUUUGAACUCUACCUGCUAAAAAUCAUAAUAUACAGAGCCUACGCAUUUGGAAUCUCAAGGAGGACUUUUUAAUCAGAGGUAGAUAGAAAUAAAAAGUGCUUACUUAGCCUGGAGCUGAAUGUAAUUUUGAGUUGAAAGCUUAAUUAUCUAAAUUUCACCUAUGUGAGCAAUCGUAUUCUGUUUAUAUAAUUCUAUUUUAAGACAUGAGUUUAAAAUAUGGCUUUGCUAUAAAUAAAUAUCUGUUUUUACAUACAAAGACCACUGGUGAGAUACAAAGAUGCUUUAAUUUUUUCUUUUCUAGGGCUUUAGAUGUUUAAGAAAAUCUACGCUAUAGUAUCCAACUGAUAAGUCAGUUUAAUGACACUACCAGUAAGAGUGUAAAGGAGAACAAAGCAGCUAAAAAGUAAUCUCUUUCCUUAUUCCUGCAUUAUCUUUAUAAGAUACACAGUCUAUCGUCUUUCUUUUGCUUAAUAAAAAAAUUUAAUCAGUA